CACUGUCACUCCUACGGGGAGGCAGCAGUGGGGAAUAUUGCACAAUGGGCGCAAGCCUGAUGCAGCCAUGCCGCGUGUGUGAAGAAGGCCUUCGGGUUGUAAAGCACUUUCAGUCGUGAGGAAGGCGGCGUCGUUAAUAGCGGCGUUGUUUGACGUUAGCGACAGAAGAAAGCACCGGCUAACUCCGUGCCAGCAGCCGCGGUAAUACGGAGGGUGCGAGCGUUAAUCGGAAUUACUGGGCGUAAAGCGCAUGCAGGUGGUUUGUUAAGUCAGAUGUGAAAGCCCGGGGCGUCAACCUCGGAAUAGCAUUUGAAACUAGGCAGACUAGAGUACUGUAGAGGGGGGUAGGAAUUUCAGGUGUAGCGGUGAAAAUGCGUAGAGAUCUGAAGGAAUACCGGUGGCGAAGGCGGCCCCCUCGGACAGAUACUGACACUCAGAUGCGAAAGCGUGGGGAGCAAACAGGAUUAGAUACCCUGGUAG
This 480-nucleotide ribosomal RNA is filed under the name uncultured bacterium. RNAcentral's name for it is "bacterial SSU rRNA". It matches the Rfam family "Bacterial small subunit ribosomal RNA", at positions 325 to 793 of the family's 1533-position model. The record is from RNAcentral.